UGUUCCUUGAUGGUAUGUUCACGCGGUUCAAAUUUCUUUUGAUCAAGUUUUCUCUUUCUCUUUUAUGUCUGUGAACAAAUAAAAUUUGCAUCUUCUCUCAUUUUCACUAGAUUCUCAUCGCUUCCUUUUGAUACAUUCUUGGUCAAUCUUCUCUCUAUUAUGUUCCCAUCGCUUCCUUUCAUUUUCUUAGUUCAUCAUCUAUUUUGAAAACCUCACCGCCACCGUCAUCAGAAGACCAUCAUUGAUGGACACCAUCGUCGAUGGAGGUUUAAGAUUGUAUCAUGUACCAUGGUGCUAUGGAUGGGAGAACCAAGUCUGAAAGUUAGUGCGUUAAUAUACCUUGUGUUGCUGUCGAUGAUUGUCCAAAGGUAGAGAAACCUUUAAAUAUGUGGUGCAUGCAUCAAUAUUGUGUCUAUGGUUUUAUAAAACCCUAUAAGUGAAUAAUAUUAUGUGUGCUUCAUAAUAUUUUCACUUGUCUAAAUUAUUUCAAAAUUUGAUUUGUACUUUAUCUAGAUUUUCAAUUUAAAUGUAUUUGUAUGCAAUGCGCUCUUCUUUUACUUUCUUGUGUGUUAUCCCAUUAAGUUUUCCUAGCUAGUAAGGUUUUUAUUGACAUUGUUGUCUGUAAAAUGUAUUCCCUUAAUAAUAUAAUAUAUCAUUAUAUUUAUAUUUGAUUUGGUAAGAUAAUUUUCUACUUUUUAUCUUUAUGUAUGUUUGCCUAUGUAAAUUAGUUAAACUCUAGAUUAUUGAAAUUAAGUAUAUUAAUCUUAUUAUAAAGAAAUAUAUAUAUUAUUUUAGAUUAUCAUUUGUUUGGGUACAAUGAUUAUCAGUAUUUUAAUUGUUGUUAAAUAGAACUAUAAAAAUAAGAUUUAUUUUCAUAUUAAUCAAAAGAAGUGAUUCAAUAAGAACCGGAAAUAAUUGUUUUUAAGAAUAAAAUAGUGUGAUAUAAAUCAAGGAGAGAUCAAACCAAGUAAUUAGGUUUAAGUGGUUAAUGUGCUACAUCAAAAGACAGAUCAUUUAGAAGAAUCCGACUUUGAUUCUUGGGUGGAACAAUUCUUGGUUAGACUAUUCUUUCAUAGAUGACCAUGGAUUCUAAUUCCUCUUGGAACUAGACACAAAAAAAAUCAGGAAGAGAUACACAGAAUGGCUAAACCGCGAAAGUUUAUUAGGUCUUGCAACCUCUAAACCUAAUUUUUCCCUCUAAUAAUCUGUCAUUAAAUGCUAAUCCAUACAACCCUAAAAAAUUUCCCUCCUAUUCCAUUGCCAAUUUGAAUUUCAAAAAUCUGAUGGUUGUAUUUCCCUCACAUGCCACUCAUUUGUUAAUUGAGCAGUUUCCAACGCAAGACUAAUUUGAAAUUUAAAUUCGGCCACUACCAAUUACAUACUACUCAAUUUUAUUUUUUGUGAAGAAUACACACUACUCAAAAUAAAAAGGCAGCUGCAUUUACAUUUAAUUACUGUACAUUUCCCC
Molecule: long non-coding RNA, 1468 nt
Filed under: Medicago truncatula (barrel medic)
Lineage: Eukaryota; Viridiplantae; Streptophyta; Magnoliopsida; Fabales; Fabaceae
Description: lncRNA gene36633
Source: RNAcentral